CCCUAUAUUCUAAAGUGAUCCUGGUCAUUGACAGUCCAGGGAGAGAAGCUGCUGAAAGCAUUUCCCUUGUUUGGAGGGUCCACUGCUGUUCCUUCUAAACUCUGGAGUUUUUCCACA
Chlorocebus sabaeus (green monkey) is the source of this 117-nucleotide small nucleolar RNA. Its record names the gene SNORA71. It matches the Rfam family "Small nucleolar RNA SNORA71". Rfam says of the family: The members of this family belong to the H/ACA class of snoRNAs which bind a number of proteins (including dyskerin, Gar1p and Nop10p) to form snoRNP complexes. This class of snoRNAs are thought to guide the sites of modification of uridines to pseudouridines by forming direct base pairing interactions with substrate RNAs. NCBI's taxonomy places the organism in Eukaryota, Metazoa, Chordata, Mammalia, Primates, Cercopithecidae. The record is from Ensembl.